This 303-nucleotide ribosomal RNA is filed under the name uncultured bacterium. Its description in RNAcentral is "partial 16S ribosomal RNA". It matches the Rfam family "Bacterial small subunit ribosomal RNA", at positions 507 to 807 of the family's 1533-position model. The record is from RNAcentral.
AGCAGCAGCCACGGGAAUACGAAGGGUGCAAGCGUUAAUCGGAAUUACUGGGCGUAAAGCGCGCGUAGGUGGUUUGGUAAGAUGGAUGUGAAAUCCCCGGGCUCAACCUGGGAACUGCAUCCAUAACUGCCUGACUAGAGUACGGUAGAGGGUGGUGGAAUUUCCUGUGUAGCGGUGAAAUGCGUAGAUAUAGGAAGGAACACCAGUGGCGAAGGCGACCACCUGGACUGAUACUGACACUGAGGUGCGAAAGCGUGGGGAGCAAACAGGAUUAGAUACCCGAGUAGUCCCUGUCUCUUAUAC